Molecule: ribosomal RNA, 562 nt
Filed under: Phlegmacium balteatoalbum
Lineage: Eukaryota; Fungi; Basidiomycota; Agaricomycetes; Agaricales; Cortinariaceae
Description: eukaryotic LSU rRNA
Rfam family: 5.8S ribosomal RNA (bases 186-339)
Source: RNAcentral
CUUGUCAUCUUUAUAUCUCCACCUGUGCACCUUUUGUAGACCUGGAUCUCUCUCUGAAUGCUAGCAUUUAGGAUUGAGGAUUUGACUUCAUGUCUUUCCUUCCAUUUCCAGGCCUAUGUUUCUUCAUAUACCCCAAUGUAUGUCGUAGAAUGUAAUCAAUGGCCUUUGUGCCUAUAAACCUAUACAACUUUCAGCAACGGAUCUCUUGGCUCUCGCAUCGAUGAAGAACGCAGCGAAAUGCGAUAAGUAAUGUGAAUUGCAGAAUUCAGUGAAUCAUCGAAUCUUUGAACGCACCUUGCGCUCCUUGGUAUUCCGAGGAGCAUGCCUGUUUGAGUGUCAUUAAUAUAUCAACCUCUUCAGUUUUUUGCUUGUUGAGUGUUGGAUGUGGGGGUCAUUUUUUGCUGGUCUUCUCAGAUCAGCUCCCCUGAAAUUCAUUAGCGGAACAAUCUGUGGACCGUUCAUUGGUGUGAUAACUAUCUACGCUAUUGACGUGAAGCAGUUUCAGCUUCUAACAGUCCAUUGACUUGGACAAAAAUUUUUAUUAAUGUGACCUCAAAUCAGG